GACGAACGCUGGCGGCGUGCCUAAUACAUGCAAGUCGAGCGAAGUUUUUCUGGUGCUUGCACUAGAAAAACUUAGCGGCGAACGGGUGAGUAACACGUAAAGAACCUGCCUCAUAGACUGGGACAACUAUCGGAAACGAUAGCUAAUACCGGAUAACAGCAUUAACUGCAUGGUUGAUGUUUAAAAGUUGGUUUUGCUAACACUAUGAGAUGGCUUUGCGGUGCAUUAGCUAGUUGGUGGGGUAAAGGCCUACCAAGGCGACGAUGCAUAGCCGACCUGAGAGGGUGAUCGGCCACACUGGGACUGAGACACGGCCCAGACUCCUACGGGAGGCAGCAGUAGGGAAUCUUCCGCAAUGGGCGAAAGCCUGACGGAGCAACGCCGCGUGAGUGAAGAAGGAUUUCGGUUCGUAAAGCUCUGUUGUUAGGGAAGAAUGAUUGUGUAGUAACUAUACACAGUAGAGACGGUACCUAACCAGAAAGCCACGGCUAACUACGUG
Molecule: ribosomal RNA, 499 nt
Filed under: uncultured bacterium
Lineage: Bacteria
Description: partial 16S ribosomal RNA
Rfam family: Bacterial small subunit ribosomal RNA
Source: RNAcentral